UGAGGCCUAUGAUGGAUUUGAACAUUUGCCUACAUUGUCCGAUUUUUCAUGAUGGAGAAUUUGAAACUGUUCUGAGGCCUCU
Rhododendron vialii is the source of this 82-nucleotide small nucleolar RNA. RefSeq annotates it as small nucleolar RNA SNORD34. The transcript has a single exon. The record is from RefSeq and is a predicted model, not a curated record. Lineage: Eukaryota; Viridiplantae; Streptophyta; Magnoliopsida; Ericales; Ericaceae.